This 935-nucleotide ribosomal RNA is filed under the name Chalcopteroides sp. COL157. RNAcentral describes it as "SSU rRNA". It matches the Rfam family "Eukaryotic small subunit ribosomal RNA", at positions 52 to 932 of the family's 1831-position model. The record is from RNAcentral. Lineage: Eukaryota; Metazoa; Arthropoda; Insecta; Coleoptera; Tenebrionidae.
UGCAUGUCUCAGUACAAGCCGACAUUAAGGUGAAACCGCGAAGAGGCUCAUUAAAUCAGUAUGGUUCCUUAGAUCGUACCCACAUUUACUUGGAUAACUGUGGUAAUUCUAGAGCUAAUACAUGCAAACAGAGCUCCAACCGGAAACGGAAGGAGCGCUUUUAUUAGAUCAAAACCGAUCGGUGGCGGUUUCCGUCAUCGUACAACUUGGUGACUCUGAAUAACUUUACGCUGAUCGCACGGUCUCGCACCGGCGACGCAUCUUUCAAAUGUCUGCCUUAUCAACUGUCGAUGGUAGGUUCUGCGCCUACCAUGGUUGUAACGGGUAACGGGGAAUCAGGGUUCGAUUCCGGAGAGGGAGCCUGAGAAACGGCUACCACAUCCAAGGAAGGCAGCAGGCGCGCAAAUUACCCACUCCCGGCACGGGGAGGUAGUGACGAAAAAUAACGAUACGGGACUCAUCCGAGGCCCCGUAAUCGGAAUGAGUACACUCUAAACCCUUUAACGAGGAUCAAUUGGAGGGCAAGUCUGGUGCCAGCAGCCGCGGUAAUUCCAGCUCCAAUAGCGUAUAUUAAAGUUGUUGCGGUUAAAAAGCUCGUAGUCGAAUCUGUGUCCCGCGCCGCCGGUUCAUCGUUCGCGGUGUCAACUGGCGUGUCGCGGGACGUCCUGCCGGUGGGCUUAGCUCGAGAGGGCGGCCCAACUCAAUCCCGCCGCGGUGCUCUUCAUUGAGUGUCGAGGUGGGCCGGCACGUUUACUUUGAACAAAUUAGAGUGCUUAAAGCAGGCUAAAACUUCGCCUGAAUACUGUGUGCAUGGAAUAAUGGAAUAGGACCUCGGUUCUAUUUUGUUGGUUUUCGGAACCCCGAGGUAAUGAUUAAUAGGAACGGAUGGGGGCAUUCGUAUUGCGACGUUAGAGGUGAAAUCUUGGAUCGUCGCA